GCAACCCUUGUCCUUAGUUACCAGCACGGUUAUGGUGGGCACUCUAAGGAGACUGCCGGUGACAAACCGGAGGAAGGUGGGGAUGACGUCAAGUCAUCAUGGCCCUUACGGCCUGGGCUACACACGUGCUACAAUGGUCGGUACAAAGGGUUGCCAAGCCGCGAGGUGGAGCUAAUCCCAUAAAACCGAUCGUAGUCCGGAUCGCAGUCUGCAACUCGACUGCGUGAAGUCGGAAUCGCUAGUAAUCGUGAAUCAGAAUGUCACGGUGAAUACGUUCCCGGGCCUU
RNAcentral lists this ribosomal RNA (286 nucleotides) under uncultured Pseudomonas sp. Its description in RNAcentral is "partial 16S ribosomal RNA". It matches the Rfam family "Bacterial small subunit ribosomal RNA", at positions 1098 to 1382 of the family's 1533-position model. Lineage: Bacteria; Pseudomonadati; Pseudomonadota; Gammaproteobacteria; Pseudomonadales; Pseudomonadaceae. The record is from RNAcentral.